CUACGUGCCAGCAGCCGCGGUAAUACGUAGGGUGCGAGCGUUAAUCGGAAUUACUGGGCGUAAAGCGAGCGCAGACGGUUACUUAAGCAGGAUGUGAAAUCCCCGGGCUCAACCUGGGAACUGCGUUCUGAACUGGGUGACUAGAGUGUGUCAGAGGGAGGUAGAAUUCCACGUGUAGCAGUGAAAUGCGUAGAGAUGUGGAGGAAUACCGAUGGCGAAGGCAGCCUCCUGGGAUAACACUGACGUUCAUGCCCGAAAGCGUGGGUAGCAAACAGGAUUAGAUACCCUGGUAGUCCACGCCCUAAACGAUGUCGAUUAGCUGUUGGGCAGCUUGACUGCUUAGUAGCGAAGCUAACGCGUGAAAUCGACCGCCUGGGGAGUACGGUCGCAAGAUUAAAACUCAAAGGAAUUGACGGGGACCCGCACAAGCGGUGGAUGAUGUGGAUUAAUUCGAUGCAACGCGAAGAACCUUACCUGGUCUUGACAU
This 487-nucleotide ribosomal RNA is filed under the name uncultured bacterium. RNAcentral describes it as "bacterial SSU rRNA". It matches the Rfam family "Bacterial small subunit ribosomal RNA", at positions 501 to 987 of the family's 1533-position model. The record is from RNAcentral.